Long non-coding RNA from Papaver somniferum (opium poppy), 450 nucleotides. RefSeq lists it as uncharacterized. The transcript has 3 exons. Lineage: Eukaryota; Viridiplantae; Streptophyta; Magnoliopsida; Ranunculales; Papaveraceae. The record is from RefSeq and is a predicted model, not a curated record.
AAUAGGUUGAAGCCAUCCCAAAUUAAGUCAAGUUGUUUUCAAGCCGCGCAUCAUUCAUUUUCUAUUUCCGCCACUGCCAGUGGUGACAGAAGAAAGAGAAGCAGCUGAUACUCAGCUCUCAUCUCUCUCGUCUAUGAUGUCUCACAACAAGUGCAAGUAGCAAUGGAGAACAUGCUUAAGAUGACUAAAUCAGAGCUCAAGCGGAAUAAUAGAAGAAAUUGAAAAGUGCAAGGAGUCUGCAACUGAAAAGAAGAAAAUGUUAGACAAGAAAAAGAACGUUUCCAGAAAGCUGCUUACAUGGCUUUAGAUAUGCUCAACAACACUGUAAGAUAUGUUUCUUAUCAUUUCUCUGUCUUAAAGAAAUUUCAUUUCAUAGUGAAGUGAAGUGUUUCAUGACACAUAUCAGUCAUUGUAAUCUUGCUCCCUGUUUUAUCCAUUUUUUUCUCUGCA